Molecule: ribosomal RNA, 483 nt
Filed under: uncultured bacterium
Lineage: Bacteria
Description: partial 16S ribosomal RNA
Rfam family: Bacterial small subunit ribosomal RNA
Source: RNAcentral
GAUGAACGCUAGCGGCAGGCCUAACGCAUGCAAGCCGAACGGCAAGUCCGAUAGCCAUAUUGGACUUAGAGUGGCUCAAGGGUCCGUCACACGUAUGCAACCUGACCGAGACAGGCGGAUCGCUCGCAUAAAGGGGAAUUAACCCUCCAUAUUACCAUGAGAAGGCCUCUGUUUUUGCUUAAACCGCAAGGGGUCGUGGAUGGGCUUGCGGUUGAUUAGCUAGUUGGCGGGGUAAAGGCCCACCAAGGCGGUGCUCAGUAGGGGGUCUGUGAGGGAGGUCCGCCACACUGGCACUGAGAUACGGGCCAGACUCCUACGGGAGGCAGCAGUAGGGAAUAUUGGACAAUGGUUGCAAGACUGAUCCAGCCAUGCCGCGUGCAGGAAGAAGGCCUUCUGGGUCGUAAACUGCUUUGUCCGGUGGAUAGAAUACCCGUUCGCAGGGAAUUGAAGGUAACAGGAGAAGAAGCCACGGCUAACUACGUG